GUCUCAUCUAUGUAAAUGAUGAUAAGGCCUAAUUUACUAAUAUUUUAAGUCUUCAGUAAGAUAAUAUACAUGAAGGUGUGUUUUAAGUAUUAUAAGCCUCAAAAAUGUCAGAUGUUUUCAUUAUUUCCUGCUUCAUCCUGUGUUUCCAGGCACCAUUUGAACUAGAAGAGCAGAUCAAUUCAAGUCAACACACCUCUUAGUCAUCCACUUCUAUGCAGGGCAUGGUGUUUGGUGCUGGGUGCAAAGGAGAAAGAGGCCACUAUUACUGUGUGUGAAAGCAUGAAGGCGUCUCCUGAUAACUGUGCAUAGCCUCAGAAAUGUCAACUGUUUCUGGGCUCUGGAGAAUCUGGUUGCCAAAAUCUGUCUUCGGUCUUGAAGUUGAAGUGGACACUAUCAAGAAUCUUUGGAUGAUGAUCACAGAAUGUUGAAUUGAAAACAUUUCCC
Molecule: long non-coding RNA, 444 nt
Filed under: Sus scrofa (pig)
Lineage: Eukaryota; Metazoa; Chordata; Mammalia; Artiodactyla; Suidae
Description: lncRNA (ENSSSCG00055019494.1)
Source: RNAcentral